RNAcentral lists this ribosomal RNA (463 nucleotides) under uncultured bacterium. RNAcentral's name for it is "partial 16S ribosomal RNA". It matches the Rfam family "Bacterial small subunit ribosomal RNA", at positions 28 to 507 of the family's 1533-position model. The record is from RNAcentral.
GAUGAACGCUGACAGAAUGCUUAACACAUGCAAGUCUUUGGCGAAGCUGUGCUUGCACAGCCUAGCCAAGGCGGACGGGUGAGUAACGCGUAAGGAACUUGCCCUGCAGUCAGGGAUAACAGACGGAAACGACUGAUAAGACCUGGUAAAGUCAGGCGGACUCAUGUCCAGCUUGAUGAAAAGAGAUGCUGCAGGAGAGCCUUGCGUCCUAUUAGCUUGUUGGUGGGGUAACGGCCCACCAAGGCGAUGAUAGGUAGCCGGCCUGAGAGGGUGGACGGCCACAAGGGGACUGAGAUACGGCCCUUACUCCUACGGGAGGCAGCAGUGGGGAAUAUUGGACAAUGGGGGCAACCCUGAUCCAGCAAUUCUGUGUGCACGAUGAAGGUUUUCGGAUUGUAAAGUGCUUUCAGCAGGGAAGAAAAAAAUGACGGUACCUGCAGAAGAAGCGACGGCUAAAUACGUG